ACAAAAAAAGAGGCACAAACAGCUUUUUUGUUUGUUUGUUUGCUUGUUUGUUUUUCUUUCACUGAAUGGCUUCCAUCUUGGCCUUCUUGCUUCUAUUGAUCACGUAUAAAGUCA
RNAcentral lists this non-coding RNA (114 nucleotides) under Heterosigma akashiwo. Lineage: Eukaryota; Raphidophyceae; Chattonellales; Chattonellaceae. The record is from RNAcentral.